RNAcentral lists this ribosomal RNA (1435 nucleotides) under metagenome. RNAcentral describes it as "bacterial SSU rRNA". It matches the Rfam family "Bacterial small subunit ribosomal RNA". The record is from RNAcentral.
AGAGUUUGAUCCUGGCUCAGGACGAACGCUGGCGGCGUGCUUAACACAUGCAAGUCGAACGGUGACGAGGAGCUUGCUCCUCUGAUCAGUGGCGAACGGGUGAGUAACACGUGAGCAACCUGCCCCAGACUCUGGGAUAACAGUUGGAAGCAGCUGCUAAUACCGGAUACGAGACGGAGAGGCAUCUCUACCGUCUGGAAAGUUUUUCGGUCUGGGAUGGACUCGCGGCCUAUCAGCUAGUUGGUGAGGUAAUGGCUCACCAAGGCACGACGGGUAGCCGGCCUGAGAGGGCGACCGGCCACACUGGGACUGAGACACGGCCCAGACUCCUACGGGAGGCAGCAGUGGGGAAUAUUGCACAAUGGGCGAAAGCCUGAUGCAGCGACGCCGCGUGAGGGAUGACGGCCUUCGGGUUGUAAACCUCUUUCAGCAGGGAAGAAGCGAAAGUGACGGUACCUGCAGAAGAAGCACCGGCUAACUACGUGCCAGCAGCCGCGGUAAUACGUAGGGUGCGAGCGUUGUCCGGAAUUAUUGGGCGUAAAGAGCUUGUAGGCGGUUUGUCGCGUCUGCAGUGAAAAUCCGAGGCUCAACCUCGGACUUGCUGUGGGUACGGGCAGACUAGAGUAUGGUAGGGGAGACCGGAAUUCCUGGUGUAGCGGUGGAAUGCGCAGAUAUCAGGAGGAACACCGAUGGCGAAGGCAGGUCUCUGGGCCAUAACUGACGCUGAGAAGCGAAAGCAUGGGGAGCGAACAGGAUUAGAUACCCUGGUAGUCCAUGCCGUAAACGUUGGGCGCUAGGUGUGGGGCUCAUUCCACGAGCUCCGUGCCGCAGCUAACGCAUUAAGCGCCCCGCCUGGGGAGUACGGCCGCAAGGCUAAAACUCAAAGGAAUUGACGGGGGCCCGCACAAGCGGCGGAGCAUGCGGAUUAAUUCGAUGCAACGCGAAGAACCUUACCAAGGCUUGACAUAUACCGGAAACAUCCAGAGAUGGGUGCCCCGCAAGGUCGGUAUACAGGUGGUGCAUGGUUGUCGUCAGCUCGUGUCGUGAGAUGUUGGGUUAAGUCCCGCAACGAGCGCAACCCUCGUUCUAUGUUGCCAGCGCGUAAUGGCGGGGACUCAUAGGAGACUGCCGGGGUCAACUCGGAGGAAGGUGGGGAUGACGUCAAAUCAUCAUGCCCCUUAUGUCUUGGGCUUCACGCAUGCUACAAUGGCCGGUACAAAGGGCUGCGAUACCGCGAGGUGGAGCGAAUCCCAAAAAACCGGUCUCAGUUCGGAUUGGGGUCUGCAACUCGACCCCAUGAAGUCGGAGUCGCUAGUAAUCGCAGAUCAGCAACGCUGCGGUGAAUACGUUCCCGGGCCUUGUACACACCGCCCGUCAAGUCACGAAAGUCGGUAACACCCGAAGCCGGUGGCCCAACCCUUGUGGAGGGAGCCGU